Molecule: unclassified non-coding RNA, 335 nt
Filed under: soil metagenome
Description: partial contains 5.8S ribosomal RNA, internal transcribed spacer 2, and large subunit ribosomal RNA
Rfam family: 5.8S ribosomal RNA (bases 1-120)
Source: RNAcentral
GAUGAAGAACGCAGCGAAAUGCGAUAAGUAAUGUGAAUUGCAGAAUUCAGUGAAUCAUCGAAUCUUUGAACGCACAUUGCGCCCGCCAGUAUUCUGGCGGGCAUGCCUGUUCGAGCGUCAUUUCAACCAUCAAGCCCCCGGCUUGUGUUGGGGACCUGCGGCUGCCGCAGGCCCUGAAAACCAGUGGCGGGCUCGCUAGUCACUCCGAGCGUAGUAAUACAUCUCGCUCAGGGCGUGCUGCGGGUUCCGGCCGUUAAAAAGCCUUAUUUACCCAAGGUUCACCUCGGAUCAGGUAGGAAGACCCGCUGAACUUAAGCAUAUCAAUAAGCGGAGGA